AGUGAACGCUGGCGGUAGGCCUAACACAUGCAAGUCGAACGGCAGCACAGUAAGAGCUUGCUCUUACGGGUGGCGAGUGGCGGACGGGUGAGGAAUACAUCGGAAUCUACUUUUUCGUGGGGGAUAGCGUAGGGAAACUUACGCUAAUACCGCAUACGACCUACGGGUGAAAGCAGGGGAUCUUCGGACCUUGCGCGAUUGAAUGAGCCGAUGUCGGAUUAGCUAGUUGGCGGGGUAAAGGCCCACCAAGGCGACGAUCCGUAGCUGGUCUGAGAGGAUGAUCAGCCACACUGGAACUGAGACACGGUCCAGACUCCUACGGGAGGCAGCAGUGGGGAAUAUUGGACAAUGGGCGCAAGCCUGAUCCAGCCAUACCGCGUGGGUGAAGAAGGCCUUCGGGUUGUAAAGCCCUUUUGUUGGGAAAGAAAAGCAGCAGGUUAAUACCCUGCUGUUCUGACGGUACCCAAAGAAUAAGCACCGGCUAACUUCGUG
This 492-nucleotide ribosomal RNA is filed under the name uncultured bacterium. RNAcentral describes it as "partial 16S ribosomal RNA". It matches the Rfam family "Bacterial small subunit ribosomal RNA", at positions 29 to 507 of the family's 1533-position model. The record is from RNAcentral.